CUAUCGGUGUUCGCCUAAGCCAUGCGAGUCAUAUGUAGCAAUACAUGGCGUACUGCUCAGUAACACGUGGAUAACCUGCCCUUGGGACCGGCAUAACCCCGGGAAACUGGGGAUAAUUCCGGAUAACGCAUAUUUGCUGGAAUGCUUUAUGCGUCAAAAGGAUUCGUCUGCCCAAGGAUGGGUCUGCGGCCUAUCAGGUAGUAGUGGGUGUAAUGUACCUACUAGCCAGCGACGGGUACGGGUUGUGAGAGCAAGAGCCCGGAGAUGGAUUCUGAGACAUGAAUCCAGGCCCUACGGGGCGCAGCAGGCGCGAAAACUUUACAAUGCGGGAAACCGUGAUAAGGGGACACCGAGUGCCAGCAUCAUAUGCUGGCUGUCCGGAUGUGUAAAAUACAUCCGUUAGCAAGGGCCGGGCAAGACCGGUGCCAGCCGCCGCGGUAACACCGGCGGCCCGAGUGGUGAUCGUGAUUAUUGGGUCUAAAGGGUCCGUAGCCGG
RNAcentral lists this ribosomal RNA (496 nucleotides) under methanogenic archaeon U3/P-1. RNAcentral's name for it is "bacterial SSU rRNA". It matches the Rfam family "Archaeal small subunit ribosomal RNA", at positions 30 to 528 of the family's 1478-position model. Lineage: Archaea; Methanobacteriati; Methanobacteriota. The record is from RNAcentral.